GAUGAACGCUGGCGGCGUGCCUAAUACAUGCAAGUCGAGCGAACGGACGAGAAGCUUGCUUUUCUGAUGUUAGCGGCGGACGGGUGAGUAACACGUGGAUAACCUACCUAUAAGACUGGGAUAACUUCGGGAAACCGGAGCUAAUACCGGAUAAUAUUUUGAACCGCAUGGUUCAAAAGUGAAAGACGGUCUUGCUGUCACUUAUAGAUGUAUCCGCGCUGCAUUAGCUAGUUGGUAAGGUAACGGCUUACAAAGGCAACGAUGCAUAGCCGACCGGAGGGGGUGAUCGGCCACACUGGAACUGAGACACGGUCCAGACUCCUACGGGAAGCAGCAGUAGGGAAUCUUCCACAAUGGGCGAAAGCCUGACGGAGCAACGCCGCGUGAGUGAUGAAGGUCUUCGGAUCGUAAAACUCUGUUAUUAGGGAAGAACAUAUGUGUAAGUAACUGUGCACAUCUUGACGGUACCUAAUCAGAAAGCCACGGCUAACUACGUG
RNAcentral lists this ribosomal RNA (497 nucleotides) under uncultured bacterium. RNAcentral's name for it is "partial 16S ribosomal RNA". It matches the Rfam family "Bacterial small subunit ribosomal RNA", at positions 28 to 507 of the family's 1533-position model. The record is from RNAcentral.